CCGCCUGCUGGUGGGCGCCGCACACGUCACGGCCCUGACCCGGCCGCCGAUGUGGAACCAGGGGGGGAAACCGCCGUUCGACUCCUCCAUGUGGG
RNAcentral lists this transfer RNA (95 nucleotides) under Streptomyces parvulus. Its description in RNAcentral is "tRNA-Val(gac)". Lineage: Bacteria; Bacillati; Actinomycetota; Actinomycetes; Kitasatosporales; Streptomycetaceae. The record is from RNAcentral.